RNAcentral lists this ribosomal RNA (460 nucleotides) under uncultured bacterium. Its description in RNAcentral is "partial 16S ribosomal RNA". It matches the Rfam family "Bacterial small subunit ribosomal RNA", at positions 338 to 795 of the family's 1533-position model. The record is from RNAcentral.
CCUACGGGAGGCAGCAGUGAGGAAUAUUGGUCAAUGGACGAGAGUCUGAACCAGCCAAGUAGCGUGAAGGAUGACUGCCAUAUGGGUUGUAAACUUCUUUUAUAUGGGAAUAAAAUGUUCCACGUGUGGGAUUUUGUAUGUACCAUAUGAAUAAGGAUCGGCUAACUCCGUGCCAGCAGCCGCGGUAAUACGGAGGAUCCGAGCGUUAUCCGGAUUUAUUGGGUUUAAAGGGAGCGUAGGUGGAUUGUUAAGUCAGUUGUGAAAGUUUGCGGCUCAACCGUAAAAUUGCAGUUGAAACUGGCAGUCUUGAGUACAGUAGAGGUGGGCGGAAUUCGUGGUGUAGCGGUGAAAUGCUUAGAUAUCACGAAGAACUCCGAUUGCGAAGGCAGUUCACUGGACUGCAACUGACACUGAGGCUCGAAAGUGUGGGUAUCAAACAGGAUUAGAUACCCCUGUAGUC